GCGGUUGUGGCUCAGUGGUAGAGCGCUUGCCUAGCAUGUAUGAGGCACUGGGUUCAAUUCUCAGAACGGCA
RNAcentral lists this transfer RNA (71 nucleotides) under Marmota marmota marmota (Alpine marmot). It matches the Rfam family "tRNA". From Rfam's summary of the family: Transfer RNA (tRNA) molecules are approximately 80 nucleotides in length. The record is from Rfam by way of RNAcentral. Lineage: Eukaryota; Metazoa; Chordata; Mammalia; Rodentia; Sciuridae. RNAcentral also lists the same sequence under 1 other name.